GACGAACGCUGGCGGCGUGCUUAACACAUGCAAGUCGAACGGAAAGGCCUUUUCGGAGGUACUCGAGUGCGAACGGGUGAGUAACACGUGGGUGAUCUGCCCUGCACUCUGGGAUAAGCCUGGGAAACUGGGUCUAAUACCGGAUAGGACCGCACUUUAGUGUGUGUGGUGGAAAGUUUUUUCGGUGUAGGAUGAGCCCGCGGCCUAUCAGCUUGUUGGUGGGGUAAUGGCCUACCAAGGCGGCGACGGGUAGCCGGACUGAGAGGUUGGUCGGCCACAUUGGGACUGAGAUACGGCCCAGACUCCUACGGGAGGCAGCAGUGGGGAAUAUUGCACAAUGGGCGCAAGCCUGAUGCAGCGACGCCGCGUGGGGGAUGACGGCCUUCGGGUUGUAAACUCCGUUCGCCAGGGACGAAGCGUUUUGUGACGGUACCUGGAGAAGAAGCACCGGCUAACUACGUG
This 462-nucleotide ribosomal RNA is filed under the name uncultured bacterium. RNAcentral's name for it is "partial 16S ribosomal RNA". It matches the Rfam family "Bacterial small subunit ribosomal RNA", at positions 28 to 507 of the family's 1533-position model. The record is from RNAcentral.